RNAcentral lists this ribosomal RNA (1953 nucleotides) under Escherichia coli. Its description in RNAcentral is "partial 23S ribosomal RNA". It matches the Rfam family "Bacterial large subunit ribosomal RNA", at positions 180 to 2157 of the family's 2925-position model. Lineage: Bacteria; Pseudomonadati; Pseudomonadota; Gammaproteobacteria; Enterobacterales; Enterobacteriaceae. The record is from RNAcentral.
CGAACCGGGGGAACUGAAACAUCUAAGUACCCCGAGGAAAAGAAAUCAACCGAGAUUCCCCCAGUAGCGGCGAGCGAACGGGGAGCAGCCCAGAGCCUGAAUCAGUAUGUGUGUUAGUGGAAGCGUCUGGAAAGGCGCGCGAUACAGGGUGACAGCCCCGUACACAAAAAUGCACAUGCUGUGAGCUCGAUGAGUAGGGCGGGACACGUGGUAUCCUGUCUGAAUAUGGGGGGACCAUCCUCCAAGGCUAAAUACUCCUGACUGACCGAUAGUGAACCAGUACCGUGAGGGAAAGGCGAAAAGAACCCCGGCGAGGGGAGUGAAAAAGAACCUGAAACCGUGUACGUACAAGCAGUGGGAGCACGCUUAGGCGUGUGACUGCGUACCUUUUGUAUAAUGGGUCAGCGACUUAUAUUCUGUAGCAAGGUUAACCGAAUAGGGGAGCCGAAGGGAAACCGAGUCUUAACUGGGCGUUAAGUUGCAGGGUAUAGACCCGAAACCCGGUGAUCUAGCCAUGGGCAGGUUGAAGGUUGGGUAACACUAACUGGAGGACCGAACCGACUAAUGUUGAAAAAUUAGCGGAUGACUUGUGGCUGGGGGUGAAAGGCCAAUCAAACCGGGAGAUAGCUGGUUCUCCCCGAAAGCUAUUUAGGUAGCGCCUCGUGAAUUCAUCUCCGGGGGUAGAGCACUGUUUCGGCAAGGGGGUCAUCCCGACUUACCAACCCGAUGCAAACUGCGAAUACCGGAGAAUGUUAUCACGGGAGACACACGGCGGGUGCUAACGUCCGUCGUGAAGAGGGAAACAACCCAGACCGCCAGCUAAGGUCCCAAAGUCAUGGUUAAGUGGGAAACGAUGUGGGAAGGCCCAGACAGCCAGGAUGUUGGCUUAGAAGCAGCCAUCAUUUAAAGAAAGCGUAAUAGCUCACUGGUCGAGUCGGCCUGCGCGGAAGAUGUAACGGGGCUAAACCAUGCACCGAAGCUGCGGCAGCGACGCUGAUGCGUUGUUGGGUAGGGGAGCGUUCUGUAAGCCUGCGAAGGUGUGCUGUGAGGCAUGCUGGAGGUAUCAGAAGUGCGAAUGCUGACAUAAGUAACGAUAAAGCGGGUGAAAAGCCCGCUCGCCGGAAGACCAAGGGUUCCUGUCCAACGUUAAUCGGGGCAGGGUGAGUCGACCCCUAAGGCGAGGCCGAAAGGCGUAGUCGAUGGGAAACAGGUUAAUAUUCCUGUACUUGGUGUUACUGCGAAGGGGGGACGGAGAAGGCUAUGUUGGCCGGGCGACGGUUGUCCCGGUUUAAGCGUGUAGGCUGGUUUUCCAGGCAAAUCCGGAAAAUCAAGGCUGAGGCGUGAUGACGAGGCACUGCGGUGCUGAAGCAACAAAUGCCCUGCUUCCAGGAAAAGCCUCUAAGCAUCAGGUAACAUCAAAUCGUACCCCAAACCGACACAGGUGGUCAGGUAGAGAAUACCAAGGCGCUUGAGAGAACUCGGGUGAAGGAACUAGGCAAAAUGGUGCCGUAACUUCGGGAGAAGGCACGCUGAUAUGUAGGUGAAGUCCCUCGCGGAUGGAGCUGAAAUCAGUCGAAGAUACCAGCUGGCUGCAACUGUUUAUUAAAAACACAGCACUGUGCAAACACGAAAGUGGACGUAUACGGUGUGACGCCUGCCCGGUGCCGGAAGGUUAAUUGAUGGGGUUAGCGCAAGCGAAGCUCUUGAUCGAAGCCCCGGUAAACGGCGGCCGUAACUAUAACGGUCCUAAGGUAGCGAAAUUCCUUGUCGGGUAAGUUCCGACCUGCACGAAUGGCGUAAUGAUGGCUAGGCUGUCUCCACCCGAGACUCAGUGAAAUUGAACUCGCUGUGAAGAUGCAGUGUACCCGCGGCAAGACGGAAAGACCCCGUGAACCUUUACUAUAGCUUGACACUGAACAUUGAGCCUUGAUGUGUAGGAUAGGUGGGAGGCUU